Molecule: ribosomal RNA, 274 nt
Filed under: uncultured bacterium
Lineage: Bacteria
Description: partial 16S ribosomal RNA
Rfam family: Bacterial small subunit ribosomal RNA
Source: RNAcentral
AUACGGAGGGUGCGAGCGUUAAUCGGAAUUACUGGGCGUAAAGCGCGCGUAGGCGGCUAGGUCAGUCGGAUGUGAAAGCCCCGGGCUUAACCUGGGAAUUGCAUUCGAAACUGCCUGGCUAGAGUAUGGGAGAGGGAAGCGGAAUUUCCGGUGUAGCGGUGAAAUGCGUAGAUAUCGGAAGGAACACCAGUGGCGAAGGCGGCUUUCUGGACUAAUACUGACGCUGAGGAGCGAAAGCGUGGGGAGCAAACGGGAUUAGAAACCCCAGUAGUCC